GUUAGGAAUAUUGGACAAUGGGCGAAAGCCUGAUCCAGCCAUGCCGCGUGAACGAUGAAGGCCUUCGGGUUGUAAAGUUCUUUAGCCGAUGAUUAUAAUGACUGUAGUCGGAAAAUAAGCCCCGGCUAACUUCGUGCCAGCAGCCGCGGUAAUACGAAGGGGGCGAGCGUUAUUCGGAAUCACUGGGCGUAAAGCGUGCGUAGGCGGUUUUGUAAGUUAGGAGUGAAAGCCCAGGGCUCAACCUUGGAAUUGCUCUUAAAACUGCAAGGCUCGAAUCUCGGAGAGGAUAGCGGAAUUGUCAGUGUAGCAGUGAAAUGCGUAGAUAUUGACAGGAACACCAGUGGCGUAAGCGGCUAUCUGGACCGAUAUUGACGCUGAGGCACGAAAGCGUGGGGAUCAAACAGGAUUAGAUACCCCUGUAGUCC
This 425-nucleotide ribosomal RNA is filed under the name uncultured bacterium. RNAcentral's name for it is "bacterial SSU rRNA". It matches the Rfam family "Bacterial small subunit ribosomal RNA", at positions 354 to 796 of the family's 1533-position model. The record is from RNAcentral.